UUUCAAAUUUCGUACUCGCUAUUAUGGAUACGUUAAGCUGCAAUACAGCCAUGCAAUGGCAUAAACAAGUCGGAAAAUGCGCGUUAGCAGUUGAAGUGCUAUUAUAAACAACGUAUUAAUAAUGCUUGCAAGUAUGUACCAAAUAUACUCUCCAUUAAGCUGAGGAUCUUUUUUUGUUGCGCCAUAUUUACGGAAUUUUUGAACAAUAAAGUAAAAUAGAAAUAAAAUCUACUAUUAACAUUU
Molecule: non-coding RNA, 243 nt
Organism: Schizosaccharomyces pombe (fission yeast)
Lineage: Eukaryota; Fungi; Ascomycota; Schizosaccharomycetes; Schizosaccharomycetales; Schizosaccharomycetaceae
Source: the annotation of a GenBank genome assembly